CGUUAUCAAUAUUUUGGUUUCAUUUUCAUCAUUUUUAAAAAUUUGAAAAAAGAAUUAUUGAAUAACAGUUCGAAUAGGUGAAUGCAUCAAUUAAUGAUUUUUCAAUGCAUUUUUAGCGAUGGAUAAUUUAAUCGACAGUCAUUACCUACAACUACCAUCUCAAGGAAACAUCUACUUAUCUGCAAGACUCCAAAAAGCUGAUGGAUCGAAUAGAAUUAUUGUGGGUUGUUUGAGAAGAAAAGUCUUCGUUGUAGAAUACCGAUGUAAUGAAGAGUUUUUAGAACCUAUUACGACAGAGGUUUACUUUGCUUACAUAUCCAAUGGUGCAGAAAUCACAUCUAUCGAUGUAUUCAAUAGAUCGAAAACUAUGGACGAUUUUGUCAUUGGAAUUGUCAUCAUGAGAAAUACUGAAACUGGCACCAGCGCUCAUCUGAAUUUAUAUUGUGAAUAUGAUCUCGAACCCGAUGUAGAACUUAGUUUAGAAACCAUUGGACAGCAUUGUGAAAGUCUAAUGUUGGAUUAUAUUCCUUAUGGAUUACAUCAUACUCAAAUAUCACCUCAUCAAGUGAACGGAUCUUACGAAAAUCUUUGGUUGUUACCUGGAAGUGAUAAUAAAAUCCAUGCUUAUCGAGGUCGUUACCAUGAUCGAAACUUUGUUGAAAUAUCUGUUGGCGAUUUUUUUGUCGAAUUCGAAGACGUCCCUGCAAUUGUGAUGUGUAUCAAAGUUCUCUAUUACAAUAAUUACCACCAUCGAAUUUCUAGUCUUGGAUGUGAAAAUGGACAAGUACGUUGUGCAAUAGUUGAGUGUAAAAGUAAUCAUAUUUUGAGAUCACUAAGCACGGAAUAUGAAAAUCCCAUCUCCAGUGUUCAGUUAUUUACAUUAAAAAUGCCAGAGAUUCCUGUCGAUGAUAUCGAACAAUAUAUUCAAAAUGAUGAUUUAACAUUCUUAGAAAAGAACCCCGAAGUUAAUUUACUCGUUACGAACACACUGUUUCAUUCUGAAGUUUUCAUGGAUGUACUGAAGUAUGAUUUUAAAAAUCGACACUGCCUCCAUGAAAGCACUCUUUAUGAUGCUUGCUUGUGCUCGGUUAUAGCGGAUGUAGAUUUUGACGGCAAUAAAGAAAUAAUUUUAGGAACUUACGGCGAGGAAUUAUUGUUAUUUAAAUACGUCGAUAAUGAAACGUGGAAAAUGAUUGGGCAAAAGAGUAUCCCGAAUCCUGUCCAUAAAUUAUACUACGUUGACUUGACGGAAGAUGGUGUUAGCGAGCUGAUAACAGUAACUGCCAAAGGCCUCCACGUUUACCAGCUUAAAUCGUUUCAGCAUAAAUUGAAAGACGUUCACAAAUUGAUCAGCUCUAGAAUUGAGAAGUUGGAUAAAGAACGGUUGGAGGAAUUAAUUCUGAAAGAAAACUGGUCAUGAAGUAUAAGAAGUUGUAAACUGAAUCAAGCAUGCCUGUCAAAGACAUUUGUUUCGGAAUGAAAUCUGAACUUCCAUUUUCAUCAUAAAAAAAAUUUACGACUAGAAAAAUACGCGGCUCGAUUUUUGAUUUUAUGCCCCGUUAAAAGUACAUACAAUGGCGAUUUUCCACUGAAGUUUCAUGUACACGAAUUGUGUUUCGCCAAUUGGUUAUUUUGUAAGAAUCUAAAUAAUGGUCCAGGUCAAUGGUUAUUUGGAAAAUGUGGAGCUCGUCCAGAUACGUUUUCAAUCGACUAUUCUGCCUUAUGUGCACCACCAGAAGAACGCGAACCAUACGUGCCGGAUAAGAAAAGCAAUAGACAUUCGAUAAUUGUUUGAAAAAAAAUUAUCUCAAAAUUUUAUACAAAAACAUUAUUUAUUCAAAAUACGUCUACAAGAGUUGUAUGAUACAAGUUCAUUCAAAAAUUCAUCGAUAACAUAAAAAUGAUAGAGGAAUGUAAUGUACCUAAUUAAUUUUUAUUAAUAAAAGACAUUUUCGAUUUGUAAA
Molecule: RNA transcript, 1964 nt
Organism: Planococcus citri (citrus mealybug)
Lineage: Eukaryota; Metazoa; Arthropoda; Insecta; Hemiptera; Pseudococcidae
Gene name: KICSTOR complex protein kaptin-like
Exons: 10
Source: RefSeq, a predicted model, not a curated record